Molecule: ribosomal RNA, 448 nt
Filed under: uncultured bacterium
Lineage: Bacteria
Description: partial 16S ribosomal RNA
Rfam family: Bacterial small subunit ribosomal RNA
Source: RNAcentral
UCCAGACUCCUACGGGAGGCAGCAGUGGGGAAUAUUGCACAAUGGGGGGAACCCUGAUGCAGCGACGCCGCGUGGGUGAAGGAGCACCUCGGUGCGUAAAGCCCUAUCGGCAGGGAAGAAACAGACGGUACCUGACUAAGAAGCCCCGGCUAACUACGUGCCAGCAGCCGCGGGAAUACGUAGGGGGCGAGCGUUAUCCGGAUUCACUGGGUGUAAGGGGAGCGUAGACGGCCAAGCAAGCCAGGGGUGAAAGCCCGGGGCCCAACCCCGGGACUGCUCUGGAAACUGCGGCGCUGGAGUACGGGAGGGGCAGGCGGAAUUCCUGGUGUAGCGGUGAAAUGCGUAGAUAUCAGGAGGAACACCGGCGGCGAAGGCGGCCUGCUGGACCGUGACUGACGUUGAGGCUCGAGAGCGUGGGGAGCAAACAGGAUUAGAUACCCGAGUAACG